RNAcentral lists this ribosomal RNA (510 nucleotides) under uncultured bacterium. RNAcentral describes it as "partial 16S ribosomal RNA". It matches the Rfam family "Bacterial small subunit ribosomal RNA", at positions 28 to 507 of the family's 1533-position model. The record is from RNAcentral.
GACGAACGCUGGCGGCGUGCUUAACACAUGCAAGUCGAACGAACAGCUAUGGAAGCUUGCUUCUAUCAAUUAUAGUGGCGAACGGGUGAGUAACGCGGAAUCAACCUGCCCUUCAGAGGGGGACAACAGUGGGAAACGACUGCUAAUACCGCAUACGAUCUAAUCUCGGCAUCGAGGAUAGAUGAAAGGUUGCCCCUACAUGUAAACUAUUAAUGAAGGAGGGCAUUGCGUCUGAUUAGCUAGUUGGAGGGGUAACGGCCCACCAAGGCGAUGAUCAGUAGCCGGUCUGAGAGGAUGAACGGCCACAUUGGGACUGAGACACGGCCCAGACUCCUACGGGAGGCAGCAGUGGGGAAUCUUCCGCAAUGGACGAAAGUCUGACGGAGCAACGCCGCGUGAGUGAUGACGGCCUUCGGGUUGUAAAGCUCUGUUAAUCGGGACGAAAGGCCUUCUUGCGAAUAGUGAGUAGGAUUGACGGUACCGGAAUAGAAAGCCACGGCUAACUACGUG